GCGGGCUGCCACAGUCAGCGCUGGGGCUGGCCUGGGCUUGCAGACCUGAGCCCCGCGAACAGCCCCAGCGGCGGUGGCGCAGGCGAGCCGAAGAAAGGGGACCUUUAUGCCUUUUGGGGGGAAGCACACAUUCUGCGAGGCCAUGGAAACAAAGAGAGGAACUGUUUCUAGCCCUAGUCCCAACAUCUCAAACCAACAGCAAACAGCCCCCUUCUUGAUGCUGUGACUCAGAAGCUGCUCAGGCCAAUCUGCUCAGAUCGCUCAUUGACCAGAACUCGGGGAAACUGAGCUGCAGAGGUUGUCUCCAGAGAGUGUGAUCUUGAGUCCGGGGUGGCUGAUUAAGGAAACGUCCCUGCUCCUUCCAUUCUCCUGGAGUCCAUCCUUGCAUGUGUUGAAGAGGGAACCUUCUCCCCACCUCAUCAAAGAUCACCUAUGAGCCCACAGGCGUGUAAUAAAGAAAUCAAGCCACAUA
Leptonychotes weddellii (Weddell seal) is the source of this 472-nucleotide non-coding RNA. The record is from RefSeq and is a predicted model, not a curated record. Lineage: Eukaryota; Metazoa; Chordata; Mammalia; Carnivora; Phocidae.